GAUGAAGAACGCAGCGAAAUGCGAUAAGUAAUGUGAAUUGCAGAAUUCAGUGAAUCAUCGAAUCUUUGAACGCACAUUGCGCCCGCCAGCAUUCUGGCGGGCAUGUCUGUUCGAGCGUCAUUUCAACCCUCGACAUCCCCUUGGGGAAGUCGGCGUUGGGGACCGGCAGCACACCGCCGGCCCCGAAAUUGAGUGGCGGCCCGUCCGCGGCGACCUCUGCGUAGUAAUCCAACCUCGCACCGGAACCCCGACGUGGCCACGCCGUAAAACACCCAACUUUCUGAACGUUGACCUCGGAUCAGGUAGGAAUACCCGCUGAACUUAAGCAUAUCAAUAAGCGGAGGA
Molecule: unclassified non-coding RNA, 345 nt
Filed under: soil metagenome
Description: partial contains 5.8S ribosomal RNA, internal transcribed spacer 2, and large subunit ribosomal RNA
Rfam family: 5.8S ribosomal RNA (bases 1-120)
Source: RNAcentral